UGCAAGUAGAACGCUGAAGGAGGACCUUGCUCUUUCCGGAUGAGUUGCGAACGGGUGAGUAACGCGUAGGUAACCUGCCUGGUAGCGGGGGAUAACUAUUGGAAACGAUAGCUAAUACCGCAUAAUAGUAGAUGUUGCAUGACAUUUGCUUAAAAGGUGCAAUUGCAUCACUACCAGAUGGACCUGCGUUGUAUUAGCUAGUUGGUGAGGUAACGGCUCACCAAGGCAACGAUACAUAGCCGACCUGAGAGGGUGAUCGGCCACACUGGGACUGAGACACGGCCCAGACUCCUACGGGAGGCAGCAGUAGGGAAUCUUCGGCAAUGGACGGAAGUCUGACCGAGCAACGCCGCGUGAGUGAAGAAGGUUUUCGGAUCGUAAAGCUCUGUUGUAAGAGAAGAACGAGUGUGAGAGUGGAAAAUUCACACUGUGACGGUAUCUUACCAGAAAGGGACGGCUAACUACGUGCCAGCAGCCGCGGUAAUACGUAGGUCCCGAGCGUUGUCCGGAUUUAUUGGGCGUAAAGCGAGCGCAGGCGGUUAGAUAAGUCUGAAGUUAAAGGCUGUGGCUUAACCAUAGUACGCUUUGGAAACUGUUUAACUUGAGUGCAAGAGGGGAGAGUGGAAUUCCAUGUGUAGCGGUGAAAUGCGUAGAUAUAUGGAGGAACACCGGUGGCGAAAGCGGCUCUCUGGCUUGUAACUGACGCUGAGGCUCGAAAGCGUGGGGAGCAAACAGGAUUAGAUACC
This 746-nucleotide ribosomal RNA is filed under the name uncultured Streptococcus sp. Its description in RNAcentral is "bacterial SSU rRNA". It matches the Rfam family "Bacterial small subunit ribosomal RNA", at positions 56 to 786 of the family's 1533-position model. Lineage: Bacteria; Bacillati; Bacillota; Bacilli; Lactobacillales; Streptococcaceae. The record is from RNAcentral.